RNAcentral lists this ribosomal RNA (205 nucleotides) under Chryseobacterium sp. CBTAP 102. Lineage: Bacteria; Pseudomonadati; Bacteroidota; Flavobacteriia; Flavobacteriales; Weeksellaceae. The record is from RNAcentral.
UAGGGUGGUUUUAGCGGUGGGGCUCACCUGUUCCCAUUCCGAACACAGAAGUUAAGCCCACCAGCGCCGAUGGUACUGCUAACGCGGGAGAGUAGGCCGCCGCCAGUUUUUAUUUUAUUUUUAAAAUCCUUUAUCUUAUUGAUAAAGGAUUUUUUUUGCUUUAUACCCAAGCAGGGAACCCUAAACUCAUACAUAAUGAGUAAUA